This 425-nucleotide ribosomal RNA is filed under the name uncultured Hypocreales. RNAcentral's name for it is "SSU rRNA". It matches the Rfam family "Eukaryotic small subunit ribosomal RNA", at positions 804 to 1228 of the family's 1831-position model. The record is from RNAcentral. Lineage: Eukaryota; Fungi; Ascomycota; Sordariomycetes; Hypocreales.
UUAGCAUGGAAUAAUGGAAUAGGACGUGUGGUUCUAUUUUGUUGGUUUCUAGGACCGCCGUAAUGAUUAAUAGGGACAGUCGGGGGCAUCAGUAUUCAAUUGUCAGAGGUGAAAUUCUUGGAUUUAUUGAAGACUAACUACUGCGAAAGCAUUUGCCAAGGAUGUUUUCAUUAAUCAGGAACGAAAGUUAGGGGAUCGAAGACGAUCAGAUACCGUCGUAGUCUUAACCAUAAACUAUGCCGACUAGGGAUCGGACGGUGUUAUUUUUUGACCCGUUCGGCACCUUACGAGAAAUCAAAGUGCUUGGGCUCCAGGGGGAGUAUGGUCGCAAGGCUGAAACUUAAAGAAAUUGACGGAAGGGCACCACCAGGGGUGGAGCCUGCGGCUUAAUUUGACUCAACACGGGGAAACUCACCAGGUCCAGA